Molecule: ribosomal RNA, 488 nt
Filed under: uncultured bacterium
Lineage: Bacteria
Description: bacterial SSU rRNA
Rfam family: Bacterial small subunit ribosomal RNA
Source: RNAcentral
GAUUAACGCUGGCGGCGUGCAUACACAUUCAAGUCGAACGAAGCACCUGAAACGGAGACUUCGGUCAAAGAAGCUUGCUUCUUUCAAGUUAGUGGCGGACGGGUGAGUAACACGUGAGCAACCUGCCUCUGAGAGGGGGAUAGCUUCUGGAAACGGAUGGGUAAUACCCCAUAAUGUAGUGAAACCGCAUGAUUUUACUACCAAAUGAAUUUCGCUCAGAGAUGGGCUCGCGUCUGAUUAGCUAGAUGGUGAGGUAACGGCUCACCAAGGCGACGAUCAGUAGCCGGUCUGAGAGGAUGAACGGCCACAUUGGGACUGAGAUACGGCCCAGACUCCUACGGGAGGCAGCAGUGGGGAAUAUUGGGCAAUGGGGGAAACCCUGACCCAGCAACGCCGCGUGAAGGAAGAAGGCCUUCGGGUUGUAAACUUCUUUUAGUAGGGACGAAUACAUGACGGUACCUACAGAAAAAGCAACGGCUAACUACGUG